RNAcentral lists this unclassified non-coding RNA (160 nucleotides) under uncultured Helotiales. Its description in RNAcentral is "sequence contains ITS1". The record is from RNAcentral. Lineage: Eukaryota; Fungi; Ascomycota; Leotiomycetes; Helotiales.
CAGAGAACUUGCCCUUCGGGGUAAAUCUCCCACCCUAUGUUUACAUACCUUUGUUGCUUUGGCGAGCCCGUCUCACGGCCACCGGCUCUUAGCUGGUCAGUGCUCGCCAGAGGACCCAAAACUCUAAAUUAUAUGUCGUCUGAGUACUAUAUAAUAGUUA